AUGAAACCCAACAACCAGGCCGUCCGGAGGGCAGCUUCCACCAGCGGGCUGCUCCUCAUCCUCCUGCUCGUCGCCUUCACGGCGUCCAACUACUCGUCGCUCUACACCGAGCAGUUGCUCGUCGGCGUGCCCGCCACCCCGGGCUACUCCUCUGCCACGGCGGGAUCCCGCGCGAGCGAUGGCAACGCCGGACUGGCGUGCGACGUGGCGAGGGGCGAAUGGGUGCCCGACCCGGUCGCGCCCUACUACACCAACGCGACGUGCCCGCUGAUCGACGCCCGGCAGGACUGCAUGAUGUACGGCAAGCCCGGGAUCGAGUCCAUCAUCCGGUGGCGGUGGCAGCCCCACGGCUGCGACCUCCCCCGCUUCGACGCGGCGGCCUUCCUCCGCCUCGUCCGCGGCAAGUCCAUGGCCUUCGUCGGGGACUCCGUCGCGCGCAACCACAUGCAGUCGCUCAUGUGCCUGCUCGCCGAGGUGGAGCACCCGAGGGAGAUCGAGCCCAAGGACUGCGUGCACUGCACGCGCAAGUACCAUUACCGGGAGCACGACUUCACGGUGUGCGUGUUCUGGACGCCGUUCCUGGUGCGGUGGAACGUGACGCACGCCGGCGGGCAGAAGUUCAUGGACCCGCAGAACUUGUACCUGGACGAGCCGGACCCGGAGUGGAGCCGCGACGUCGCCGGCUACGACUACGUCGUCCUCAACGGCGCCAAGUGGUUCACCCGCCCCACCGUGCUCUACGAGGGCGGCCGCCUCCUCGGCUGCGCCAACGUCGACAGCUGCGAGGCCAAGCACAACGCCACCGCCGUGGCCCCGCACUACGCGGUGCGCGCGUCGUUCCGGACCGCGCUCCGGGCGCUCGCCGGGUUCCGCGGCCGGGUGGUCGUCCGGACGGUGGCGCCCCCGCACUACGAGAACGGGAAGUGGGACGACGGAGGAAACUGCCUGAGGACGGGGCCCAUGCGGAGCAACGAGACCAGCCUACCGGAGACCGAGGCUGCGUUUCACGUCGCGCAGGUGGAGGAGUUCCGGGCCGCGUCGGCGGCGGCGGCCUCGGAGGGGCGGUUCGGGCUGAUGGACGUGAGCGAGAUGAUGCAGAUGAGGGGCGACGCGCACCCCGGACAGUACGGGCACUGGCCGCACGAGAAGGUCGGCUUCGGCAUCGACUGCGUGCACUGGUGCUUGCCCGGCCCCGUCGACGCUUGGAGCGAGGUGCUGCUCCAUUUACUGACAUGA
This 1236-nucleotide ribosomal RNA is filed under the name Triticum aestivum (bread wheat). Its description in RNAcentral is "partial small subunit ribosomal RNA". The record is from RNAcentral. Lineage: Eukaryota; Viridiplantae; Streptophyta; Magnoliopsida; Poales; Poaceae.